UGGACUUGAAAUCCUACGACUCUGAUAGAGAUAUCGGAGUGCUCCUUGGAGAAUGUAGUGAC
This 62-nucleotide ribosomal RNA is filed under the name uncultured bacterium. RNAcentral describes it as "partial 16S ribosomal RNA". The record is from RNAcentral.